UACAGAGGGUGCGAGCGUUAAUCGGAAUUACUGGGCGUAAAGGGUUCGUAGGUGGCCAACUAAGUCAGACGUGAAAUCCCUCAGCUUAACUGGGGAACUGCGUCUGAUACUGGAUGGCUUGAGUGUAGGAGAGGAAUGCGGAAUUCCAGGUGUAGCGGUGAAAUGCGUAGAUAUCUGGAGGAACACCGGUGGCGAAGGCGGCAUUCUGGACUACAACUGACACUGAGGAACGAAAGCCAGGGGAGCAAACGGG
This 253-nucleotide ribosomal RNA is filed under the name uncultured bacterium. RNAcentral's name for it is "partial 16S ribosomal RNA". It matches the Rfam family "Bacterial small subunit ribosomal RNA", at positions 524 to 776 of the family's 1533-position model. The record is from RNAcentral.